AGCAGCCGCGGUAAUUCCAGCUCCAAUAGCGUAUAUUAAAGUUGUUGCAGUUAAAAAGCUCGUAGUUGAAUUUCGGGGUUAGUAGGUUGGUCAUGCCUCUGGUAUGCACUGGUCUCACUGAUUCCUCCUUCCUGAUGAACCUUAAUGCCAUUAAUUUGGUGUUUUGGGGAAUUUGGACUGUUACUUUGAAAAAAUUAGAGUGUUUAAAGCAAGCUAACGCUUGAAUACAUUAGCAUGGAAUAAUGAAAUAGGACGUUCGAUCCUAUUUUGUUGGUUUCUAGGAUUGACGUAAUGAUUAAUAGGGAUAGUUGGGGGCAUUAGUAUUCAAUUGUCAGAGGUGAAAUUCUUGGAUUUAUUGAAGACUAACUACUGCGAAAGCAUUUGCCAAGGAUGUUUUCAUUAAUCAAGAACGAAAGUUAGGGGAUCGAAGACGAUCAGAUACCGUCGUAGUCUUAACCAUAAACUAUGCCGACUAGGGAUCGGAUGAUGUUAAUUUUUUAAUGACUCA
This 508-nucleotide ribosomal RNA is filed under the name Glomus sp. MO-G13. RNAcentral's name for it is "SSU rRNA". It matches the Rfam family "Eukaryotic small subunit ribosomal RNA", at positions 569 to 1078 of the family's 1831-position model. The record is from RNAcentral. Lineage: Eukaryota; Fungi; Glomeromycota; Glomeromycetes; Glomerales; Glomeraceae.